This 450-nucleotide ribosomal RNA is filed under the name uncultured bacterium. RNAcentral's name for it is "bacterial SSU rRNA". It matches the Rfam family "Bacterial small subunit ribosomal RNA", at positions 340 to 782 of the family's 1533-position model. The record is from RNAcentral.
UACGGAAGGCAGCAGUGGGGAAUAUUGCACAAUGGGCGAAAGCCUGAUGCAGCUAUGCCGCGUGUAUGAAGAAGGCCUUAGGGUUGUAAAGUACUUUCAUCGGGGAGGAAAAACAAAACUAAUAAUUUUAUUUCUUGACGUUACCCGAAAAAGAAGCACCGGCUAACUCCGUGCCAGCAGCCGCGGUAAUACGGAGGGUGCUAGCGUUAAUCAGAAUUACUGGGCGUAAAGAGCACGUAGGUGGUUUUUUUAAGUCAGAUGUGAAUCCCUGGGCUUAACCUGGAACUGCAUUUUGAAACUGAAAUACUAGAGUAUCGUAGAGGGAGGUAGAAUUCUAGGUGUAGCGGUGAAAUGCGUAGAUAUCUGGAGGAAUACCUGUGGCGAAAGCGGCCUCCUAAACGAAUACUGACACUGAGGUGCGAAAGCGUGGGGAGCGAAACAGGGAUUAGA